RNAcentral lists this ribosomal RNA (468 nucleotides) under uncultured bacterium. Its description in RNAcentral is "partial 16S ribosomal RNA". It matches the Rfam family "Bacterial small subunit ribosomal RNA", at positions 28 to 507 of the family's 1533-position model. The record is from RNAcentral.
GACGAACGCUGGCGGCGUGCUUAACACAUGCAAGUCGAACGGAAAGGCCCUGCUUUUGUGGGGUGCUCGAGUGGCGAACGGGUGAGUAACACGUGAGUAACCUGCCCUUGACUUUGGGAUAACUUCAGGAAACUGGGGCUAAUACCGGAUAGGAGCUCCUGCUGCAUGGUGGGGGUUGGAAAGUUUCGGCGGUUGGGGAUGGACUCGCGGCUUAUCAGCUUGUUUGUGGGGUAGUGGCUUACCAAGGCUUUGACGGGUAGCCGGCCUGAGAGGGUGACCGGCCACAUUGGGACUGAGAUACGGACCAGACUCCUACGGGAGGCAGCAGUGGGGAAUAUUGCACAAUGGGCGGAAGCCUGAUGCAGCAACGCCGCGUGCGGGAUGACGGCCUUCGGGUUGUAAACCGAUUUCGACUGUGACGAAGCGUGAGUGACGGUAAUGGGUAAAGAAGCACCGGCUAACUACGUG